Molecule: non-coding RNA, 1838 nt
Organism: Tetranychus urticae (two-spotted spider mite)
Lineage: Eukaryota; Metazoa; Arthropoda; Arachnida; Trombidiformes; Tetranychidae
Source: RefSeq, a predicted model, not a curated record
GCAGAGAAAAAAAAGAAAGAAGAAAGAUGAUCAAUAAAACAAAAAGAGAGAGUAAAAGCAACUUGUUACUAGUAAACGAGUUGUUUUUGGUAUCGAUAGUGAUCCUUAUGUUAGAAUAGUAUAUUUAUAUUUAUAAAUGUAUAUAUAUUUAUAUUUCUUGUUCUUCUUCUUCUUCUUCCAUCAUCAUUUGCUUCCUCAUCUUCUUUGAUGGUGAGGGAGGAAAAAAUGUGAUAGAAAAAUAAUUCACUUUCUUCUCUGGUCUUCCCUUUUUGCCUCCUCUUCUUUCACUAUCAUCAUUGCUCUUCACUCUAUUUGACCCUCUCUUUACGUUUCAAUGAAUAUUGUGCAUGUAUGGUUAGGUGGCGAUAUCAAUGACUUUGGCCUCGAUAAAUUACUUCACAACCACUUGUACCUUUUGCCUUUGCUAUAAACAACCUUCUCUGGAUAACUUUGAUAAUAUUGUUGCUCAUGCAUCAAAAGAUUCAGCUCUUCUCCCUCAUCAUCAUCAUCAUCAAGAACAUCUUUUAUGCAAUUUUCUAACCUCUUUUUUUUCUUCUCUUUCUCUCUUUCUCUUCUAUCAAUCUAGAGUUUCCAAAAAAAGUUACUCAAUUUUUCUGUAUAGGAUUACUUUGAUUGGAUGAAUGGUUAAAGGAUAACGAUCGUUAACUCAUGAUGACAAUAUUCAUCUCUGUCUGUUGCAUCUUCAAAAUAAAUGUCAUCCUCAAAUUAAGAAAGAUGAUAAAGAUUUUGAUGAUGGUCAAAGAGAUACUUUGCUUUGCCAUCUUUUUUUCUCUUCUUUCACUUUUUCACCUUUUCUCUAUCAUUUACCAUCUUUUUACCUUCAAUGUUUGAGGAAGAUGAAGGUGAAACCAAAAGAUGAAAGAAAUGCUGUAUUUCUCAAUUAAUCAGACUUGACUAGCAAAUGAAAUUUUGUUUUUCUUUUCUUUCUCUUUUCUUUCUCUUUUCUUCUGACUCAAUCAAAUGAAGAUCAAAUUGGUGAAGGUGAAAAAUGAAACAUUGAAAGGAUGAAAUCAAAUAGGAUGAACCAUGAGUGAUAGACGAUAAAUGAUGAUGAAAACAAUUUCGCAAAGUUAGGACAUGAAAAAUUUGAAGAACAUCUAGAAUCGUCUAAAACCAUCGUCAAAAUGAAACAAAAUCAUUGCUUGAAAUGGCCAUUAAAAGUUGAAGAUGAGUUCAGGCGAGACAGAACGGGAAUCCCAGAAGUGGCGCUGUUCGUUUUGGACGUUCCAGUUGAAGCGAGAGAGAACCAGAUUUUCAUAAACAGAUUUAUCAUUUUCUAAAAUAUUUUUUUCAUUGCCAAUGAAGUUUUGUCAGAAUGAGCCAAAGAUUAGCUCUAAGUUAGGUCAAAAGAUGAACCUUUUUGCACUAAUUCUGGUUUUUCUCAUUCUAAAUUGAUUCCUUUUGACUGUAAAACAAAUCAAUAUGAUUUGAAUGAAAAAAGAUGAUAUUUUUCAUUCAUUAGUGUGGACAUGAGAUGUCAUCGUCAUCAAUCAAUUUCGUCUACAUCAUCAUCAUCAUCCAUCUCUUCUCAAAUAAUAUAAAGUAAACAGAGAAAGAUCAUCAAUAAACAAAGUUAACAUACAGUAAACACACAGAGUUACAUGUAAUGCAUCAAAACAGGUAACCAAACUAACAUAUUUAUCUUAACUACUGCAGUUCAAUAUUAUCUUUAGACGAUUUUUUUUCUUGUUCACUUGAUUGUUUGAAUAUUGAAUUUUUCACCAGUAUAACCAUGUAUUGUUGAUUUAGUUUGUAUAUUUGUUUGCAAACUGCAACCUUAAUAUUCAAUACUGACAAUAAAGGAUAUGAAAUAAUGA